CGGGGGGAUUAGUGGCGAACGGGUGAGUAACACGUGAGUAACCUGCCCUUAACUCUGGGAUAAGCCUUGGAAACGGGGUCUAAUACUGGAUAUUGACUUUUCACCGCAUGGUGGUUGGUUGAAAGAUUUAUUGGUUUUGGAUGGACUCGCGGCCUAUCAGCUUGUUGGUGAGGUAAUGGCUCACCAAGGCGACGACGGGUAGCCGGCCUGAGAGGGUGACCGGCCACACUGGGACUGAGACACGGCCCAGACUCCUACGGGAGGCAGCAGUGGGGAAUAUUGCACAAUGGGCGCAAGCCUGAUGCAGCGACGCCGCGUGAGGGAUGACGGCCUUCGGGUUGUAAACCUCUUUCAGUAGGGAACAAGGCCAGUGUUUAGCUGGUUGAGGGUACCUGCAGAAGAAGCGCCGGCUAACUACGUGCCAGCAGCCGCGGUAAUACGUAGGGCGCAAGCGUUAUCCGGAAUUAUUGGGCGUAAAGAGCUCGUAGGCGGUUUGUCGCGUCUGCCGUGAAAGUCCGGGGCUCAACCCCGGAUCUGCGGUGGGUACGGGCAGACUAGAGUGAUGUAGGGGAGACUGGAAUUCCUGGUGUAGCGGUGAAAUGCGCAGAUAUCAGGAGGAACACCGAUGGCGAAGGCAGGUCUCUGGGCAUUAACUGACGCUGAGGAGCGAAAGCAUGGGGAGCGAACAGGAUUAGAUACCCUGGUAGUCCAUGCCGUAAACGUUGGGCACUAGGUGUGGGGGACAUUCCACGUUUUCCGCGCCGUAGCUAACGCAUUAAGUGCCCCGCCUGGGGAGUACGGCCGCAAGGCUAAAACUCAAAGGAAUUGACGGGGGCCCGCACAAGCGGCGGAGCAUGCGGAUUAAUUCGAUGCAACGCGAAGAACCUUACCAAGGCUUGACAUGAACUGGAAACACCUGGAAACAGGUGCCCCGCUUGCGGUCGGUUUACAGGUGGUGCAUGGUUGUCGUCAGCUCGUGUCGUGAGAUGUUGGGUUAAGUCCCGCAACGAGCGCAACCCUCGUUCUAUGUUGCCAGCACGUAAUGGUGGGGACUCAUGGGAGACUGCCGGGGUCAACUCGGAGGAAGGUGAGGACGACGUCAAUCAUCAUGCCCCUUAUGUCUUGGGCUUCACCAUGCUACAAUGGCCGGUACCAUGGGUUGCGAUACUGGGAGGUGGAACUAAUCCCAAAAACCGGUUCCAUUUCGAAUGGGGGCUGCACUCCACCCCUGAAUCCGAAUCCCUAUAAUCCGAAACACAACCCUCGGGGAAUAUUUCCCGGCCUGUUAACCCCCCGUCAA
This 1300-nucleotide ribosomal RNA is filed under the name bacterium. RNAcentral's name for it is "bacterial SSU rRNA". It matches the Rfam family "Bacterial small subunit ribosomal RNA", at positions 84 to 1400 of the family's 1533-position model. The record is from RNAcentral.